AAAAGAUUCAUAUAACCAAGAGAAUAUAGAAUCAACAACAAUGAUCUUCAAUCAUCAUAUUCAUUAAAGACAAGCAACAAAAACUCAAAUAACCAAAGGAUUCAUAAAACAAAGAGAAUCAAAAGAGUUCUUACAAAACGUAGCAAUCCAAGGAAAUCCAAUCGGAUGAAAUGUUAAUUGACAUCCAAAGCAAUCCAAUGAAUCCACAAUCGAAAGUAAUUGAUUUGAAACUCUAAAAACCUUAAGAAGAAGGUGGAAAUCGCCCCUAGAGGCUGCUGGGUUCGAAGA
RNAcentral lists this long non-coding RNA (288 nucleotides) under Salvia miltiorrhiza (redroot sage). Its description in RNAcentral is "long non-coding RNA (SMIL_LNC001731)". Lineage: Eukaryota; Viridiplantae; Streptophyta; Magnoliopsida; Lamiales; Lamiaceae. The record is from RNAcentral.